This 441-nucleotide ribosomal RNA is filed under the name uncultured bacterium. RNAcentral describes it as "partial 16S ribosomal RNA". It matches the Rfam family "Bacterial small subunit ribosomal RNA", at positions 338 to 795 of the family's 1533-position model. The record is from RNAcentral.
CCUACGGGGUGCAGCAGUGGGGAAUAUUGCGCAAUGGGGGAAACCCUGACGCAGCAACGCCGCGUGAGUGAGGAAGUAUCUCGGUAUGUAAAGCUCUAUCAGCGGGGAAGAAGGAAGACGGUACCUGACUAAGAAGCCCCGGCUAACUACGUGCCAGCAGCCGCGGUAAUACGUAGGGGGCGAGCGUUAUCCGGAUUCACUGGGUGUAAAGGGAGCGUAGACGGCCAUGCAAGCCAGGGGUGAAAGCCCGGGGCCCAACCCCGGGACUGCCCUUGGAACUGCAUGGCUGGAGUGCGGGAGGGGCAGGCGGAAUUCCUGGUGUAGCGGUGAAAUGCGUAGAUAUCAGGAGGAACACCGGCAGCGAAGGCGGCCUGCUGGACCGCGACUGACGUUGAGGCUCGAAAGCGUGGGGAGCGAACAGGAUUAGAUACCCCAGUAGUC